GAUGAACGCUGGCGGCGUGCUAAACACAUGCAAGUCGAACGGAAAGGCCCAAGCUUGCUUGGGUACUCGAGUGGCGAACGGGUGAGUAACACGUGGGUGAUCUGCCCUGCACUUCGGGAUAAGCCUGGGAAACUGGGUCUAAUACCGGAUAGGACCACAUUUUGGAUGGUGUGGUGGAAAGUUUUUCGGUGUGGGAUGAGCUCGCGGCCUAUCAGCUUGUUGGUGGGGUAAUGGCCUACCAAGGCGUCGACGGGUAGCCGGCCUGAGAGGGUGUACGGCCACAUUGGGACUGAGAUACGGCCCAGACUCCUACGGGAGGCAGCAGUGGGGAAUAUUGCACAAUGGGCGCAAGCCUGAUGCAGCGACGCCGCGUGGGGGAUGACGGCCUUCGGGUUGUAAACUCCUUUCGCUAGGGACGAAGCGUUAUGUGACGGUACCUGGAGAAGAAGCACCGGCUAACUACGUG
RNAcentral lists this ribosomal RNA (466 nucleotides) under uncultured bacterium. Its description in RNAcentral is "partial 16S ribosomal RNA". It matches the Rfam family "Bacterial small subunit ribosomal RNA", at positions 28 to 507 of the family's 1533-position model. The record is from RNAcentral.